Molecule: long non-coding RNA, 275 nt
Organism: Balaenoptera musculus (blue whale)
Lineage: Eukaryota; Metazoa; Chordata; Mammalia; Artiodactyla; Balaenopteridae
Exons: 2
Source: RefSeq, a predicted model, not a curated record
UCUGCUCAUCAAUGUGAUUGAGGCCCUCCGCAGGGCCAAGUUCAAGUUCCCUGGCCGCCAGAAGAUCCACAUCUCCAAGAAGUGGGGAUUUACUAAGUUUAAUGCAGAUGAAUUUGAAAACAUGGUGGCAGAAAAGCGGCUCAUCCCAGAUGGCUGUGGGGUCAAGUACAUCCCUAAUCGUGGCCCCCUGGACAAAUGGCGGGCCCUGCACUCGUGAGAGCCUUGGCGCUGCCCCCUGCCUACCCAUGCCCACCAAUAAACUCUACUUUCUUGUC